This 1112-nucleotide ribosomal RNA is filed under the name Shigella boydii. RNAcentral's name for it is "partial 23S ribosomal RNA". It matches the Rfam family "Bacterial large subunit ribosomal RNA", at positions 1268 to 2365 of the family's 2925-position model. The record is from RNAcentral. Lineage: Bacteria; Pseudomonadati; Pseudomonadota; Gammaproteobacteria; Enterobacterales; Enterobacteriaceae.
GUAUGCUGGAGGUAUCAGAAGUGCGAAUGCUGACAUAAGUAACGAUAAAGCGGGUGAAAAGCCCGCUCGCCGGAAGACCAAGGGUUCCUGUCCAACGUUAAUCGGGGCAGGGUGAGUCGACCCCUAAGGCGAGGCCGAAAGGCGUAGUCGAUGGGAAACAGGUUAAUAUUCCUGUACUUGGUGUUACUGCGAAGGGGGGACGGAGAAGGCUAUGUUGGCCGGGCGACGGUUGUCCCGGUUUAAGCGUGUAGGCUGGUUUUCCAGGCAAAUCCGGAAAACUAAGGCUGAGGCGUGAUGACGAGGCACUACGGUGCUGAAGCAACAAAUGCCCUGCUUCCAGGAAAAGCCUCUAAGCAUCAGGUAACAUCAAAUCGUACCCCAAACCGACACAGGUGGUCAGGUAGAGAAUACCAAGGCGCUUGAGAGAACUCGGGUGAAGGAACUAGGCAAAAUGGUGCCGUAACUUCGGGAGAAGGCACGCUGAUAUGUAGGUGAAGUCCCUCGCGGAUGGAGCUGAAAUCAGUCGAAGAUACCAGCUGGCUGCAACUGUUUAUUAAAAACACAGCACUGUGCAAACACGAAAGUGGACGUAUACGGUGUGACGCCUGCCCGGUGCCGGAAGGUUAAUUGAUGGGGUCAGCGCAAGCGAAGCUCUUGAUCGAAGCCCCGGUAAACGGCGGCCGUAACUAUAACGGUCCUAAGGUAGCGAAAUUCCUUGUCGGGUAAGUUCCGACCUGCACGAAUGGCGUAAUGAUGGCCAGGCUGUCUCCACCCGAGACUCAGUGAAAUUGAACUCGCUGUGAAGAUGCAGUGUACCCGCGGCAAGACGGAAAGACCCCGUGAACCUUUACUAUAGCUUGACACUGAACAUUGAGCCUUGAUGUGUAGGAUAGGUGGGAGGCUUUGAAGUGUGGACGCCAGUCUGCAUGGAGCCGACCUUGAAAUACCACCCUUUAAUGUUUGAUGUUCUAACGUUGACCCGUAAUCCGGGUUGCGGACAGUGUCUGGUGGGUAGUUUGACUGGGGCGGUCUCCUCCUAAAGAGUAACGGAGGAGCACGAAGGUUGGCUAAUCCUGGUCGGACAUCAGGAGGUUAGUGCAAUGGCAUAAGCC